UUUUCUAAAAUGGUUCUAGUUUAAAAACAAUUCAGUUUUUUUUAAACAACAGCGGUAGUACCAGUAGUGUACUACACUACACACACGCAACAGUCAGUGGGGGGAUAAGAACAGAGGAGAGGCGGCAGAACAGGGGAUUUAGGGUUAGAGAGAGAGAGGCGAUUGAACAAAUCGCUAUCUGCAGCACAUCGAUUUCAUAAUUAGUUGAAUUGUUUCCUUCAUCUCUAGGGAUGUAGGUAUGCUUGAUUUGUGUGUAUAUUUAUAUGUGAUUGGUUUUGUUGAUUGUUGGGUGGCGAUGUAUGGUCGGAGACCGCGAGUAGGUGGUGGACACGGGGGAAAGAGGCGACGUCGUGUGGGAAGGGAGGAAGAAGGAAGGUCUGGCUGCGUAAGGUUGUGUCGGUGUUGCGUGGGGGUUACAUCGCUGUAGAGAGAAAGGAGGAGUUUGAGAAAGAGUUGAAGUUGGGAUAUGCUCGUAAAGUGUUUGAGGGAAUUCCCGAGAGAGAAGAUGGGUAUACAACCUAGGCGUGAGUCGCAGGAGGUGGCACGAUGGUUUUGCGUGAGCCACUACUGGGGUUGUUGUGACUUUGACGAUGGCAAGAGGUGAGAGGAGAGACCAGGAAGCUAUCCAUUCAAGUUGAAGGGUUGAGGCGCUGAUUUAUGGCGUCGAUUAAGAAAGUUGGGAGGGUUUGGCUAUGGCAGUUUCGGUAGUGUGAAGGCUGGGGAGUUUACUGUCGAAGAAGACAGAGGAGGGUUAAAAAGAGGGAACCAAGGGGGUUGUAUAUAUUUGGUUUUAGUUGGAAAGUUGAAGGCUGUUGGUGGUCUGGGGAAUCAACAGACUCGCUGCUUGUGGGACUGAGCAGGGCGCUGCAGCUUGGUGGUUUUAAAGGGAGAGGAGAGUUAUAGUUGAGCAGUGGUGGUGGAUUGCAGACCUGGUAACAAAGUAUAGUUGUCAUCAGUGGUUGGAAUCGGAAAUAGUGAGGUCAUUGUUUCAGUUGGUCACCAGAGGGAGAAUUGCCAAUAUGUUGGCUGGUGUCUGUGCUGGUGUAUAUGUGUGGGGAGGAUGGAGCUGAAAGAGAUGGACAGAAUUAUAAAGCUGGUUUGUUUCUGGUGGUCAAAAUCGAAGAGGAAAUACAGUGUCCUUGGUGAUUGGAAGGGUGAUGUAGUCGAGGUUGGAACUAACAAUGGUUGAUGUUUGGGUUACCAUGACGGAGCUCGAGGGAGUCUUUUCAGGGGAUUUGUUGGCUAUUUGUGCUGCAAAUAUGAGUGGUGCUUUGGCCCUGGCUGGCCAGAAUUAGUGUUGGCUCAGGCGACUUUGGAUGCAGAGAAAGGAGCUGUUGGGUGGUGGUGAACAGAGUUGUAGGGCGAGGCAGUGGUGCCAAGAGAAUAGAAUAUUAAAUUUAUUGUUAUUAUAAUUGUUAUUGUUGUUUCUUAACAAUGAUAAUAGUGAUAAUAAUAAUAAUCUUUAAUAGUUUAUUGAGCCAAUUAUAGGUAAUUGUUGAUUAGUCAUUGUAUGCUUGUAUAUUAAUUGUAGUGCUGAUUUAAAUUCCGGGUUAUAAUUAUUUAAAAUCUCGCGACAGUUGUUAUGAAUUUCAUUUAAAAUUGAGAAGUUGUUAUCUACUUCUUAAAAUCAAAUAUUGAUUUCAGAUUAAAAUUAUUAUAAUGUUGUCGUGAUUAUUUUGUUUAGAUCCCGGAAGUGAUUGUUGAUUAUAAAUAAUUAUUGAUUGUGACUUGUUAAUUUUUGGAUGUGAUUAUUAUUUGAAUCACAUACCCAGCUAUAUAAGUUGGUGUUUUGACUUAUAUUUAUAUUAGACAGGAUUGUUGUGUUAUUAAAUUGUGGUUUGCUCAAUUUUAAAAUGUAUGUUGUCCAAAAUUAUAUUAUUUUAUUAAUUUAGUUUGAUGAGAUGUGAUUGAAUUACAAGAGGACUUGUAAUUCAGAUUUGGUUUAUAUCCAAGGUUAUGUUGUUAAUGGGAUUGAUUGGUUGUAUAUAAUUGAAUAUAGGAUUAUAUACACGAUUCAUAUGAUUAUAUUGAUAUAAAUAUUAAAGCAUGCAAAUUAUUUGAUACGUGUUGAUGUGAUUAUAUGUUUAACUGGUUAACACUAUGUGUAUAUAUUAAUUGCAUAUAUUAUAUGUUUACAUGACGAAGGGUAGUAAUAUAAUUUCGAUUCUGCGAAUUGACGACUUCCUGGAUUACUCUUGACUGAAAUAUUAUACUGCUUUAAUAUAUAGUCUCUCGAGACGCGUGCAUCAACGAUUGUCAGAAGCAAGCAAAUAGCGUGGCAAGGCAAGUCAGAAAUAUUUUGAUAAGGCGAUAUUGUGCCGUAAGAUAGUCCAAUAGAUUAUAGUCAUUUCAGAAUUAGCGAUUGAGGCCAAUCUAGGAAUCUCGAGUAGGUGACUGUGUGUCACUUGUUUCUGUCAAAGGCAAGUAUCCCUAUCUUCACUUAUUGUUCAAGUGAUAUUUUCUUUAAACCCUUAUGCAAGUAAUUCUAUUCUCUAACUUGUAUUUACUGCAAGUAUUCCUAUUCUUCUUUUUUAUUUAAAGAGCAAAUAUUUCAAUUCCCUCUUUUAAGCAAGUUUGCAAUUAUGACUUGUACUUCCCGCAAGCAUGUUUCUGAUAUUUAAAAGUGCAAAUACUUUUAUCUUGUCUUGUGAUUUAAAAUAUCGAAUAUCUUUAGUUCGAUACUUUUUUACUGUUAUAUGAACAGUAACAACUUUAUUUGAAAAGCAUUCUGAUUAUUUUAAUCAGUUUUCUGAAAGAUUAUUGUCUGAGUUCUUUUACAGUUUGGAACUAUUGAUGACUCAAUAGCAGUCAUAUUUUGAUACUACAAUAUAUGUCUGGUCUUCUGUCCCAGACAUAAACCCUGGAUUUUAAAUAAUUAAAUAGUUUUGUUUUUCCGUUGAGCCGUAUUACGGUGGAUUUUUAAAUUGUACUCAGACUUUAAUGAAAUUUAUUUUGACAGUAUUUUGAGUUUGAAAACUAAAGAGUUUCAGAAAGGUUUUGAAAGGAUGAUUUUAUGGCGUAAGGGGCUAUUUAAUACUCCAGCCAGAUAGACCAGCAAAAUAUUGUUUUGAGAACAGGUGUUAAUCAUCUGCUUCCGGAAGAAAUCGGAAGAUUUCUUUGUUUUUGCAUAGGUGGCCGGGACGGCGGUCCAGCGAAGGGCUAGGUAUUAUAUGAAAUAUGUAUAAUACCAUUUCUGCCAAAGGCCAAUGUGUUGCCUUCUGUUUGGUACCUAUUGUUUGGAUCUGCUUCUGCGAAGCAUGAUUCGGUGCUAUCACUGGAUUUCCUGAUCAGCUGUGAUAGUACGUCCGUUGUUUAAAACCUGGUCAUUAUUAUUUAAGCUUAUGUUAGCUUUUGAUUACUGUCAGAUAUAUCUUGUGAAUUUUCAAGCAUAUUGAUUUAUAUGUUUGAUAAACUUUUGAUUUACAAUUGUUAGAUUUACUUCAAAAGUUGGUUUUAUUUCAAAUACUCUAAUUUAAUUCAAAAAAAAAAAAAUUAAUAUCUUAUGGCUCUUGCCUUCAUAUUAUCUUGCUGAGCAUUUUCGCUCACUCUUGCUAUUAUUUCUAAUCCUUUCAGCUAGGGAUUGAGAUAGUCACUUGUGUAAGCUGCGCGUAAGAUUGAUGCUAAGCGAGAUUUCCAGGGAGAUGUUUGCAAGAAUAGCUUCGGUUAGAACUAGUCUAUUUCAGUUCAGUUGUAAAUAGAUUUAUUUACUUGGUUAUCAGUCAUUCUUCUUAUCGGGGUUUAACUGAUAAUGUAAUUUAAGUUGUAAUAAGAGUUGAUAGUUUUGGUUUCUGAUUUCAGUGCUGUAACCUAUUAGCGAUCCUGUUUUUAGGGGGUCAAAGUGGUUUUGAUUUAAAUCUCUUUUAAAAUGUCCA
This 3872-nucleotide long non-coding RNA is filed under the name Daucus carota (carrot). Its description in RNAcentral is "long non-coding RNA (DCAR_LNC002533)". Lineage: Eukaryota; Viridiplantae; Streptophyta; Magnoliopsida; Apiales; Apiaceae. The record is from RNAcentral.